RNAcentral lists this long non-coding RNA (281 nucleotides) under Trifolium pratense (red clover). Its description in RNAcentral is "long non-coding RNA (TPRA_LNC013981)". The record is from RNAcentral. Lineage: Eukaryota; Viridiplantae; Streptophyta; Magnoliopsida; Fabales; Fabaceae.
ACCAGAGAGAGCAUUUGAGUUCGAGAGCGAGUUUCUGAAAGUUAAGCAUCCAUGAAUUCAAUAAUUUACUACUACUGUUGUGAUUGGAUUUUCCAGAAUCUUCCAUUUUUGUUUUGUGUUUUGGUGUUUUCGGAAAUCGAGGGGAAGAAGAAACUGAAGGUGGAGUUCUUUGUUUUAUGGUUGAUUUUGGAGAUGACGUGGACGGCUCAGAUCUUUUGUUUUAAAAAUGAUGAAUUGAGGCGCGGGGAAUAUAAUUUCAUAAUAUUGGCGCCUUGCAUCGG